RNAcentral lists this ribosomal RNA (449 nucleotides) under uncultured bacterium. RNAcentral describes it as "bacterial SSU rRNA". It matches the Rfam family "Bacterial small subunit ribosomal RNA", at positions 329 to 792 of the family's 1533-position model. The record is from RNAcentral.
CGCCAGACUCCUACGGGAGGCAGCAGUGGGGGAUAUUGCACAAUGGGGGGAACCCUGAUGCAGCGACGCCGCGUGAGUGAAGAAGUAUCUCGGUAUGUAAAGCUCUAUCAGCAGGGAAGAAAGAAAUGACAGUACCUGACUAAGAAGCCCCGGCUAACUACGUGCCAGCAGCCGCGGUAAUACGUAGGGGGCAAGCGUUAUCCGGAUUUACUGGGUGUAAAGGGAGCGUAGACGGCGCGGCAAGUCUGAAGUGAAAGGCAGGGGCUUAACCCCUGAACUGCUUUGGAAACUGCCACGCUAGAGUGCUGGAGAGGUAAGUGGAAUUCCUAGUGUAGCGGUGAAAUGCGUAGAUAUUAGGAGGAACACCAGUGGCGAAGGCGGCUUACUGGACAGUAACUGACGUUGAGGCUCGAAAGCGUGGGGAGCAAACAGGAUUAGAUACCCCAGUA